GACGAACGCUGGCGGCGUGCUUAACACAUGCAAGUCGAACGGAAAGGCCUUUUCGGAGGUACUCGAGUGGCGAACGGGUGCGUAACACGUGGGUGAUCUGCCCUGCACUCUGGGAUAAGCCUGGGAAACUGGGUCUAAUACCGGAUAGGACCGCACUUUAGUGUGUGUGGUGGAAAGUUGUUUCGGUGUAGGAUGAGCCCGCGGCCUAUCAGCUUGUUGGUGGGGUAAUGGCCUACCAAGGCGGCGACGGGUAGCCGGACUGAGAGGUUGGUCGGCCACAUUGGGACUGAGAUACGGCCCAGACUCCUACGGGAGGCAGCAGUGGGGAAUAUUGCACAAUGGGCGCAAGCCUGAUGCAGCGACGCCGCGUGGGGGAUGACGGCCUUCGGGUUGUAAACUCCUUUCGCCAGGGACGAAGCGUUUUGUGACGGUACCUGGAGAAGAAGCACCGGCUAACUACGUG
RNAcentral lists this ribosomal RNA (463 nucleotides) under uncultured bacterium. RNAcentral's name for it is "partial 16S ribosomal RNA". It matches the Rfam family "Bacterial small subunit ribosomal RNA", at positions 28 to 507 of the family's 1533-position model. The record is from RNAcentral.